RNAcentral lists this long non-coding RNA (2065 nucleotides) under Pelobates cultripes (western spadefoot toad). Lineage: Eukaryota; Metazoa; Chordata; Amphibia; Anura; Pelobatidae. The record is from RNAcentral.
GAGAAAAGCAUGGAGCACUUUAAUUGAGUUUGUCUACUCUACAUGCAAAUUCCAUCGCGCAAUGGAUAAUCCCCUAACUAAGAGAGAAUUUGAACAUUUCUUGCGUCUGGAGGUAUUCAGCAGUUUAGAAAGUAAGAAGCCACAAUUCUGUAUUCAUACAAUCAGAUAUCUAUGUAUAUAUUGUUUAAGGAACAUAAUGUAUUUUUUUAUAGACCAUAUGUGUGGUUAGUUGGGUUGUGAGUGAGGCAAAACAUAUUUCUGUUGGGUGUAAUGCAAAAAAUGGUUGUAUUCUCCUUCAGUUAGCACUCAACUUGGGAUUCCAUUUGUCACUUAUUACACUGACUAUAUUGUGUACCCUGGGGAAAAUGUCAUUUUGCUUCAGUUACUUAUAGACCUUUUAUAUUUAACCCCUAUUGAUACUCGAGAGAGAGUUCAGAGAAGGGCUACUAAACUGGUUAAUUGAUUGCAGUGUAAAACUUACCAGGAAAGGUUAAAGGAUCUUAACAUGUAUAGCUUGGAGGAAAGAUGAGACAGGGGGGGAUAUGAUAGAAACAUUUAAAUACAUAAAGGGAAUCAACACAAUAAAGGAUGAGACUAUAUUUAAAAGAAGAAAAACUACCACAACAAGAGGACAUAGUCUUAAAUUAAAGGGGCAAAUGUUUAAAUAUAAUGUUAGGAAGUAUUACUUUACUGAGAGGGUAGUGGAUGCAUGGAAUAGCCUUCCAGCUGAAGUGGUAGAGGUUAACACAGUAAAGAAGUUUAAGAAUGCGUGGGAUAGGCAUAAGGCUAUCCUAACUAUAAGAUAAGGCCAGAGACUAAUGAAAGUAUUUAGAAAAUUGGGCAGACUAGAUGGGCCGAAUGGUUCUUUUCUGCCGUCACAUUCUAUGUUUCUAUGUUUUAUUUUCUAUGAGUACGGUUGCCAAAACGUAAUUUUUUCCUAGACACAUACUUCUUGAAAUGUAAUGGCGUGUAGUUUGUAGCAUUUAUAUGCAAUUAGUCAAGGAAGCACCUUUGGGUUUUCUGAAAUGACUUAUAUAGUAUUGUAACUCUGCUUACUGAAGGGCAGUGCUUUCUAUGUACUGCUUAUCAGCAAGUAGAAGUGAUUUGUCUUGUAAAAAUGGUUGUUCUGGCAAACCUAUAUGGCACGCUUACAUUUUUACUUUUACAACUUUGAGAUAACUACUCAGUAAUCUGCAUGCAGGGUAGCUACUGCUUACUGCAAACUAUAAAGAUAAUGGAAAUUAGCACAGCGUCUCAGAUCAAGGUAUAAUUAACAUCUGGAAUUCCAGCUCCUUUGGACUACUGUGAUUAUAGAUAUUGCUUAUUUGUAUGUUAGUGUCAAAAAACUCUUCUGUCACUUACCUGAUUCCAGCACCAAUGUCCCUUAGAACCAGUUCAGGCUCCGCCUUCACUCCUCCCCCUUCAACAUCAGUCGGUGGAGGGACCUAAUGCACACGCAUGCCAUGGUCACAUAAGGACUUCCCCCAUAGGAAUGCAUUAUACAAUGCUUUCCUAUGGGGCUUUGGGUGACGCUGAAUGUCCUCAUGCAUAACGUGAGGACAUCCAUCGUCAGGCAACCAAAACUCGCCUAAAGACCCGGAAGUCCCAAGCAGACAGCCACUAGAGGUGGCAGGCUAUUAUUUCACUUUAUUAAAAAAGGUUAAGACACCUGGGAUACUGCACCCAGACCACUUUAAUGCGCUGAAGUGGUCUGGAUGCCUAUAGUGUCUAUUUAAGUUACUAAAAAGGCAGUGGAAAUUCUGGCAAUGUAAACUGUUUUUGUUUCAAUUUUAUCACAGUCUUCUACACAUCAUAGUUAUAUUCAUUCACAGAUGUUCCAGUUGUGACUGCGCCAUCCGUUAAAGUUCCUGCUAAAACUGCAAGUGCACAACAUUCCAAAUUUCGUGUUGCAGAUGAAUCUGAAAAUUUCCCGCCAAUACGUUGUGUUGUGAUUAAUCAAUCCAUCCUGGUCAAUUACUUGAUUAAUGAUCUUUCCUUCUAUGUGGAAACCAGAAAGUAUGUGAAUUAGACAUUUCAUUGAGAAUUAGUUUUUUGUUUAAAUGGG